GCUGAGGCAGAGGCUGGAAGGAAAGAUCUGUAGGCAUCAGCAGAGCCACCGAAGAUGCUCCUGUCACCCAUGGGCAAGGCUUUGGGAGAAGGGACGAAAGUCCAUCUAGGGCCACUUCCUUUUAUCCCCUAGAGCAGCCAACCUAAAUGAGGGGACUGGAGGAGCAAACCUCGCUCAAGGAAAUCAGAGAUCAACUGGAAUCAAUCCUCGGGCUAUGGAAAGGAGUAACGCAAACAAAACACAGGUUGUGUGUAUGUUUGUGUAUGGGGGGGGCUGGUUGCCAUGACACAAAGGGCCACACCCACCAAGGCUGGGCUGAAACAGGGAUGAGGCUCUGAGACAGAAACUUGCGUAAACAGCCAAUCCUCUAGGAGAGGCCCCCCCCCCCCCACUGCAGUAGAACAACUGCCUAGUAAUGAGGAGACCCCCAGCUGAGGACACCAGCUUCUGAACAGUGGCUGAGCUGCUCUUUCUAGGCAUUAACUCCAGAAAUUGGAGAUGAGGAAACCAGAGCAAACUGGAGGUCAGCUUGGAGGUUGUGUCCAUCGCUGAACCAAUCAGUUGGGUAAGAGGAUUGUGUACCCGGAACGCCAGCCUGGAUGGUCUUAUUCAAUCCUCACAACAACUUUCUAAGUGAGCGAGGAAGGCUGUGUCAAUAUGGGGGUGCACCACGGGGUCUCCACAUGGAGAGCAGCUGCAGAGAGUCACCACACGUGCAACAAGGCUUUGUGUCAGAUCCCAUCCAGGCAGUACAACAUUACAUUUUGUCAUUGCAUCCCCUUAAGGACAUGACAGUUUCUCCGACUGUCCUUGCUUUUGAGCACCUUGACAGCUGUAAGGAGUGCUGGUCAGGGAAGGCUAAGGUGCGGUUUAUUGCCCAGGGAAGCGGAGGGCUGAUUCAGAGCAAGGCGUCAUGGAGGGAUGAAGCAGGACAUGAUGCAGAGAAGCUGCUGCCCACAGCAGUAGGACCAGAACGGUGGACUCAAGGAAGAGAGAAGGAGAACCAGAAAGGCAGCUCCGUCCUUCACGCUCGGAGGGCUUGGAGGGGAAGAAACUCCAGUGGGGUUUGAGGGUAGAUCUCCCUGUGAGGGGCUGAGUGGGGCUUGACUCUCAGAUUGCAGCUGUGGGAAAUUUAGUGAACUCCCUUAGCAAAGUGGCAAUUCAGGAUGGUGCCAACGCAACACGGCGCCGCCCAGGAGGUAGUUUGAUAUGGCUGAGGAAGCGGGUCUGGGAAGUGGCUUCACGGAACUCUGCCUCUUCUGGUGUGAGUGGGGAGAAUGCAGCUGGGUGGUCCUAGGUCCCAGGGGCUAUAGAAGCAAGAUCUGCACCAGCAGCCAUGUGUGGGGACCACACACUUCAGUAGCACCCCUCAUCCCCUACCCCAAGCAAGUCCCAGGGACCAGGCUGGACCCGCUCUGUCCCCAUCAGGGGUGCUGAAGAAUGCAGGGGGCUCACUCUUCCCUCAACCACAAGGGCAUGUGAAUAUCUCCCUGCCCCAGGAAAUUCUCUAGGAGAAGGAAGAGGGGUGAGAAAACCCUGGAAAACAGCGUUUUACUCAAAGGAGCCUGAGUUAAACAUACAGAAAUGGAGAUAUCUCUAAUGGACAAGUUAAAGGUUUCUUUUCAUUUUUUUCUUUUUCUUUUUCUUUUUUGCUUGUUAACAGUAGUAAUGGUCUCAUCAGAUCAAGAUAAGAACAGUACAAAAAAAUUAAAGAUGCUAGUUUUAUCCAUCUGAGCUGUAGGAUGUGACUUCCAACCCCAGCACACACAUGGCUGCACAAGUUUGCCUGGGCAGCUGUGUACUCUUGAUUCCUCUAGUCAGAUUUUUCUUUGAGACUCACUGUGUGUUUUGCUUUAGCCAGGAGUUGAGAAUCACAAAAUCAUCAAAUCUGUAUUAAUUAUCUAUUGCUGCAUAAUAAAUUACUCCAAAAACUUAGCAGCUGAAAACAGCAAUACGCAUGUAUUAUCUCACAC
RNAcentral lists this long non-coding RNA (1973 nucleotides) under Equus caballus (horse). RNAcentral describes it as "lncRNA (ENSECAG00000060082.1)". The record is from RNAcentral. Lineage: Eukaryota; Metazoa; Chordata; Mammalia; Perissodactyla; Equidae.